GCCCUACGGGAGGCAGCAGUGGGGAAUCUUCCGCAAUGGACGAAAGUCUGACGGAGCAACGCCGCGUGUACGACGAAGGCCUUCGGGUUGUAAAGUACUGUCUUCAGGGACGAACGGCAGGUAUGAAAAUAUUGUACUUGCAUGACGGUACCUGAGGAGGAAGCCCCGGCUAACUACGUGCCAGCAGCCGCGGUAAUACGUAGGGGACAAGCGUUGUCCGGAAUCAUUGGGCGUAAAGGGGGCGUAGGCGGAUGAGUGGGGGUGGUGUGAAAACCUAGGGCUCAACCCUGGGACUGCAUCGGAAACUGGUUAUCUUGAGGACAGGAGAGGAAAGUGGAAUUCCACGUGUAGCGGUGAAAUGCGUAGAUAUGUGGAGGAACACCAGUGGCGAAGGCGACUUUCUGGACUGUAACUGACGCUGAGGCGCGAAAGCGUGGGGAGCAAACAGGAUUAGAUACCCGUGUAGUC
Molecule: ribosomal RNA, 468 nt
Filed under: uncultured bacterium
Lineage: Bacteria
Description: bacterial SSU rRNA
Rfam family: Bacterial small subunit ribosomal RNA
Source: RNAcentral